GGCUUUGGUCUGGGUUCGGCUGGGGAUGGGCCUGCGGCCUAUCAGCUUGUUGGUGGGGUGAUGGCCUACCAAGGCGACGACGGGUAGCCGGCCUGAGAGGGCGACCGGCCACACUGGGACUGAGACACGGCCCAGACUCCUACGGGAGGCAGCAGUGGGGAAUAUUGCGCAAUGGGCGGAAGCCUGACGCAGCGACGCCGCGUGGGGGAUGACGGCCUUCGGGUUGUAAACCUCUUUCGCCAUCGACGAAGGUUCUGUGGUUGUGAGGCUGCAGGGUUGACGGUAGGUGGAGAAGAAGCACCGGCCAACUACGUGCCAGCAGCCGCGGUAAUACGUAGGGUGCGAGCGUUGUCCGGAAUUAUUGGGCGUAAAGAGCUCGUAGGCGGUGUGUCGCGUCGGCCGUGAAAACCUGCAGCUUAACUGUGGGCGUGCGGUCGAUACGGGCAUCACUGGAGUUCGGCAGGGGAGACUGGAAUUCCUGGUGUAGCGGUGAAAUGCGCAGAUAUCAGGAGGAACACCGGUGGCGAAGGCGGGUCUCUGGGCCGAUACUGACGCUGAGGAGCGAAAGCGUGGGGAGCGAACAGGAUUAGAUACCCUGGUAGUCCACGCCGUAAACGGUGGGCGCUAGGUGUGGGGGCCAUUCCACGGUCUCUGUGCCGCAGCUAACGCAUUAAGCGCCCCGCCUGGGGAGUACGGCCGCAAGGCUAAAACUCAAAGGAAUUGACGGAAUCGAAUU
Molecule: ribosomal RNA, 736 nt
Filed under: uncultured bacterium
Lineage: Bacteria
Description: bacterial SSU rRNA
Rfam family: Bacterial small subunit ribosomal RNA
Source: RNAcentral